This is a long non-coding RNA of Peromyscus californicus insignis, 2669 nucleotides long. RefSeq lists it as uncharacterized. NCBI's taxonomy places the organism in Eukaryota, Metazoa, Chordata, Mammalia, Rodentia, Cricetidae. The transcript is spliced from 3 exons. The record is from RefSeq and is a predicted model, not a curated record.
CAGGAUUAACCCACAACAAGGGAUCCCUCUACCCCACACUUAUGGCAGAGAGGUGAUGGCGGCUCUUUUUCUGCUGAGCAUUGACUAAGAUGAAGUGCAGAGGCUUAGUGAGCAGCUGAAAUCAGAACCAUGUGCCUCAGCGAGUAGGAUGGAGACUCAGAUCUGCAGCUUUUCCAGGCUGCUUCUGUCACUCUGCAUUCUGUCCGACAUCACACCUGCACACCAGACCUCGGUAUGCCUGGAAGCUUGUCUCCUAGGUGAUCCCAGAGCUCAUCGAGUUGACUGUGAACACUAAUCAUCACACCAAACCACCAAGACACCUGUUUCUACCUGCGGACAGAUAAAGCGCCUGCAGACUCAGACCAGCCACUGAAACAGCCAUGAAAACCUUCACGCUUUUGUAAAGCAGGACAAAGCUUUGAAGCUGCAGCGUGAACUCGCCCAGCAUCUCCCAGCUGUGAUGAGGACAGCAUUUCCCUAGUCAAAACAGCCUGGCUCCAUUGACAGUGUUCACUUCUCUGGAUAAUAAACAGAACUUGUAGGCUGUGUCCAUAUCAUUUUCCUUCAGCUAUCCCACUACUUAACACGAUGUCAACGAUUAAAACAAAGUCCAGAGUCACAAUGUGGAACCGUGGCUCUAGUUAAUUAUCUCAGAAAAGACACUGACCACCAUGUACUUGAAUAGUCAAGGCCCUGAAAGAAGGUCUGAUGGCCUUUGUUUGUCCCGUGUAUGUAGCAUCUCUCUGGCUACUUCCCCCGGGGUUGGUGUUUCCUUUCUUUCUCUUUCUCUUUCUCUUUCUCUUUCUUUCUUUCUUUCUUUCUUUCUUUCUUUCUUUCUUUCUUUCUUUCUCUCUCUCUUUCUUUCUUUCUUUCUUUUUUUUGGUGUGAGUGUGGGGGAAUAUUCCUUUAAAUGAUUCUAGAAAUAUCCUGUCUCCCUGGUUGGAGGGAGGCUGUGUUUAUCUGCUAGGUAAUGUUCUUAGCAGAAGCACGUUAAAUAAGGAUGGCAGACAAUACAGCCUCCAUGGAGACUGCUACAAUUCCCUUCUAUUCUUUUUCAAAUGUUAAGUUUGUAUUGGGUUAUUUAAUAGACUGCAAUAUAUUCAGUAGGUACAGAAUCCAUGCCCCCAAAUGGCUGGAUUUUAAUUCUAUCCCUCCAGUCUGUUUUAACUAAGACAUUUUCUCCUGUGCAUAUAAUCUUCAUUAUCAUGGAAGUUAUUUUUAAUUUAUAAUUAACAUAGUCUCUUUCUCAUCAUGUAUGCCUUGAUUGACUUGGACCCUCCGGACACGUCUUGUCUGGCACCAUGCUGGCUGGGUCCUGCAGUUCUCCGAUCGUGCAGCAGGUGUCUAUCUUAGCCUUCCCUUCCUUCCUCCUCUCCAGUCCCUGACGCCAGGAUAUAGUGCAUAAUUCCAAAAUGGCAGCUUUUUGAAAAUUCACCUUGAUUAUCAGACAUUAAAAGUGACUCAUCUUGCAGUGACUGUCUGGCGGAAGGGAUGGGAUCAGACAGCAAGACAAUGAAGGGACUGGGCGCAUUAGCGCACCAGAUUACAGAGCCAUCAAAAAUACCUUUGUUCUGUCAAAGAUCCAAUCAUUUCCUAGUUGUGUUCUGUGGAGGAGAAAGAACGAGAAGGAAAAAUCCACCAAACAAACAAACAAGAAAAUUCAUCUAUGAAUUAAAAACCUCCUCAGAUCUCUUUAUCCUAAGAGGGGAGGGAGGGAGCAGAUCAUCCAUCCCAAGAGGAGGCGAGGUGGAGCCGCGUCUGAGCUGGGGAUCUGUAGCAGCCUUUCUCCCAGUGGCCAUCACAUUUUCCUCACUACCUUCUGUUCUUUGAAUCUCUGUAAGAGCAAAAACUGCCAGGUUAAUAGGACUUGGUCGUGUCUGUGUGUCAGUACUCAGCCAGAUUCGUGGUGGCAUAUUUAGAAGAAAUGGCCGCACAAUUAAAACAUUGGCAUUAAAAGCACAGCUUCUGAUUUCCAUCAUGUUACGUUAGAAAGCUAACCAAGACACGUGUGAUGAGCUAGAGGGGAACACGUGUGUGGGAGCCGUUGGCAGCAUCCACACAGGCUACUGUAGAACAGCAGGAUUCGUCUUCGGCAGAGCCCACAGAUCCUGCACCAAGCGUGAAUGUGCAUGUGUACAGGGGGAAGGAGGGAACCCUGAGGGUGAGGGUGCCCUCCCCUCGGAGCCCAGGUGGAUGCGGGUAGGGUGAGAUACCCUGAACCUCAGAGCAUUUCAUCCCCCAAGGAGGCAGAAAGUCCAGAUGGGCUGUGGUGCCUGGCUUUCUUUUCUUCUGAAAACACAAUUUCCACCAUUUGUCUAUGAACUCAGAGGAGGAGUUUAUCAGUCAUGGAAAAUGCCCCAAAGGGGCUCCGAUCAAAGGCAGACUUUGAAAUGUGUACUUAGGUGGAUCUCCCUGCCAAAUACAUUAAUGUGAUUAAAACACAAAUUCCAUCAACAAUUAUUUUCCAUCUGUUUAGUAAUAAUAAUGGCGAUGCUGUGUGCCAUCAAUGGUGGCCUUCUUUUACCGAGGAGUACGAAGUGAAUUUAAAUGCUCUGCUGCACAUGGAUGCUGUGGCACUCUGGGAGGAUUUGGAGGUUUUAUUUGCUGGCAGGACAGGAGCUCAGCUGCUGUCCCCACACAGGGAUCUCAGAUAAGAAUGACCACGUUUU